Molecule: long non-coding RNA, 1281 nt
Organism: Cynocephalus volans (Philippine flying lemur)
Lineage: Eukaryota; Metazoa; Chordata; Mammalia; Dermoptera; Cynocephalidae
Exons: 3
Source: RefSeq, a predicted model, not a curated record
AAUCCAUUCAAUUGUUUGAAUAUCUAGUUAGCUGUAUCAGAUUUCUUUUUAUUUCAUGCUCUAAAAAAAAUUGUCUGAAGUCAUUUUUCACAGCUUAAGGUCACUAAGCAUUUUUUCAUAUGGAAUUUAACAACAGCAGCUACGCAAGAAAGAAUUGAUUCAUCUCUCUCCUCUCCCGCCAAAGGAUGUCCAUGAUGACACCAACAAUUAGCAACAGUUUUCCUGAAGAUGGAAAAUACCAAAUUAUUUCACACUUAUUCCAUUUGAGGCCAUCUUUCAUACUGGCAUGGGUGACACACUUCCCAACCCGGGAGGCAUCAUGCACAAAGGCAGCCCUAAUUCAAGCUGGUGGAUGUCAGCAAUGCGUAGAGGUCAAGCGAGAGCCUCACUCCUCCUUUUUAGAGGAAAAGUCUUCUAAAAAUCCUCCUACAUUUGAAACCAUAGCAGGAUUCUCAACGAAAGCACAAGAAGUACAUACCUUAGAGUGUCUGAAAGACUGCAGAGGUAGCCCUAAGGGACCUGGGAGGAGGGAGGCUGACUUGCACGAGAAAUUGAAAAUAACUCUUGGACUAUAACGUCUUCAGAGAAGAGAGGCCUUUACAUAAAAGCUUGGCCCCAUAAUAAAGCUUCAGUGUUAGAAGGGAGGACAGAUUUUUGGUAUAAUACCAGUUAGUCAAAUUUUCCUCUGGCCCGUGGAAUCAUGAUUAUGGCCUCAAGGAGAAAGAGGCUGAAAAUACAAACAAAAAGAAUUAGAGUUCAUAUGAAGACAGAAAAGAGAUUCUUGCCACUUCAGGACGAAAACGAAGCAGUGUAGUUACACCAUGAAAGCAAUUCUGGUAAGGCUGGCCCAGUGAUGGUGCUGGCACUGUGCAGUGUCUAGCCUCCAUGACAGGAGGUAAAAGCUGGCAGCAGUAGAAGGGGAUUUCCCAACAUAUUCCCAAAGUCACCAGAAGGUUCUUGGCACCUUUGCAUUGGCUUUACCGGGAUUGCAGUCCCAGAAGCAAAUGGUCACACACAGCCAAAGCACGGUAGAACACAGCAAAUGAUGCGUGUGAGCUGAGGACACUGUGUGUAUUAGCAUAUGGAGGAUAAUCCUGGACGUGCUACAGAUUUGGGAGGGCUUUUCCUGAAGGGAAAUUGCAAGGCCCCGCCUAAGAUGCUGGGGACAUUUACACUGCUGUUGUGGUCCCUUUUUUACCUUCAGGCUGGUAUGGCCUGGGGCAAAUGUGGUAUUUAACCAUAAAACAAUUCACCAAGGAAAAGAAAUUUAAUGUUUGUUAA